RNAcentral lists this ribosomal RNA (1077 nucleotides) under uncultured bacterium. Its description in RNAcentral is "bacterial SSU rRNA". It matches the Rfam family "Bacterial small subunit ribosomal RNA", at positions 135 to 1237 of the family's 1533-position model. The record is from RNAcentral.
AGUGGGAAAUAACGUCUGGAAACGGACGCUAAUACCGCAUAACGCAGCGAUACGGCAUCGUAUUGCUGCCAAAGAUUUAUCGCAUAAGGAUGGACUCGCGUCCCAUUAGAUAGUUGGCGGGGUAACGGCCCACCAAGUCAGCGAUGGGUAGCCGGACUGAGAGGUUGAACGGUCACAUUGGAACUGAGAGACGGUCCAGACUCCUACGGGAGGCAGCAGUGGGGAAUAUUGCACAAUGGGGGAAACCCUGAUGCAGCGACGCCGCGUGGAGGAAGAAGGUUUUCGGAUUGUAAACUCCUGUCGUUAGGGACGAUAAUGACGGUACCUAACAAGAAAGCACCGGCUAACUACGUGCCAGCAGCCGCGGUAAAACGUAGGGUGCAAGCGUUGUCCGGAAUUACUGGGUGUAAAGGGAGCGCAGGCGGGAAGACAAGUUGGAAGUGAAAACCAUGGGCUCAACCCAUGAAUUGCUUUCAAAACUGUUUUUCUUGAGUAGUGCAGAGGUAGAUGGAAUUCCCGGUGUAGCGGUGGAAUGCGUAGAUAUCGGGAGGAACACCAGUGGCGAAGGCGGUCUACUGGGCACCAACUGACGCUGAGGCUCGAAAGCGUGGGUAGCAAACAGGAUUAGAUACCCUGGUAGUCCAUGCCGUAAACGAUGAUUACUAGGUGUUGGGGGAUUGACCCCCUCAGUGCCGCAGUUAACACAAUAAGUAAUCCACCUGGGGAGUGCGACCGCAAGGUUGAAACUCAAAGGAAUUGACGGGGGCCCGCACAAGCAGUGGAGUAUGUGGUUUAAUUCGAAGCAACGCGAAGAACCUUACCAGGUCUUGACAUCCGAUGCAUAACACAGAGAUGUGUGAAAUCCUUCGGGACAUCGAGACAGGUGGUGCAUGGUUGUCGUCAGCUCGUGUCGUGAGAUGUUGGGUUAAGUCCCGCAACGAGCGCAACCCUUAUUGCCAGUUACUACGUUAAGAGGACUCUGGCGAGACUGCCGUUGACAAAACGGAGGAAGGUGGGGAUGACGUCAAAUCAUCAUGCCCCUUAUGACCUGGGCUACACACGUACUACAAUGGAUGU